CUUGUUGUUAUUACUAUUACCAUGACAUCAUAACAGUGUAGCAUUCUCAGCCUCUGAAUAGCAGGGGCAGAGUGGGCUGGUAGGAAAUACUGGGAGCUGGAGGUUUGACAUCCUAGCUUUUGUCAGCAGGAGUGUGUGGCCAAGCUCCUUCAGCUUUUGGAGCCUCGGGUAGUUUACCCACUUAAAGGCAGGUGAUAGCAGCAGCCCACUGAGUGAAUGAGAGCUUCAGCUGGUGUGCAGAGAAGGGUGGAUGUCACAGCACUGUUAGUCUGGGUACUGGCACUACCACACUGGCACUAUCUCAGGCUUGUCAGCACAGAGGGAUCCACCAUCCAGCUAGCUCACAUUCCUCAGCAGCCAGCAGGAAGCUUCCGGAGAAGAGGCAGCUGGCUCUCUGUGAAGCAUGGAAGGCCUCAUGAAUUGGCCCAUAGCAUCUACCUCUGCAAGAGGAUUGGAAAAGUGCCUGGAAGGAAGGAGGAAUGAGAAAUGCUCUUGGGUGAAGAAAGCUUUCAUGGAAUGGAGUUGGAGCUGGGGUAGGAGGGGCUACGGAGGAGGAGGAACCCAAGCUUGUGUAACAGUACCUGCUACACAGCAGGUGCUCAAUAAUGAUUUGUUGUUGGAAUAAAUGAGCUCCUGGUUUUCCUUUAGGUCUCAGCUUCAAUGUUACCUCCCUUAGGAAGUAAUCAGCUUUGCCUGCUUAACAAUCCUCCAGCUGUGCUUCUCUUUUUCUCCCAGCACCAAGGCUUAGGGCUCUUCAUAGCCACCCCCUCCUUGGUGUAGAGGUGGUAGUGGUGGUGGAG
This 800-nucleotide long non-coding RNA is filed under the name Homo sapiens (human). RNAcentral's name for it is "HSALNT0368278". The record is from RNAcentral. Lineage: Eukaryota; Metazoa; Chordata; Mammalia; Primates; Hominidae.